GCGGUCAUAGCUCAGCUGGGAGAGCGCGUCCUUGACGUGGACGAGGUCGCAGGUUCGAGCCCUGCUGGCCGUA
Molecule: transfer RNA, 73 nt
Filed under: Bacillota bacterium
Lineage: Bacteria; Bacillati; Bacillota
Also listed under: 11 other names
Description: tRNA-Val
Rfam family: tRNA
About the family: Transfer RNA (tRNA) molecules are approximately 80 nucleotides in length. Their secondary structure includes four short double-helical elements and three loops (D, anti-codon, and T loops). Further hydrogen bonds mediate the characteristic L-shaped molecular structure. tRNAs have two regions of fundamental functional importance: the anti-codon, which is responsible for specific mRNA codon recognition, and the 3' end, to which the tRNAs corresponding amino acid is attached (by aminoacyl-tRNA synthetases). tRNAs cope with the degeneracy of the genetic code in two manners: having more than one tRNA (with a specific anti-codon) for a particular amino acid; and 'wobble' base-pairing, i.e. permitting non-standard base-pairing at the 3rd anti-codon position.
Source: RNAcentral